UUGGGAUAGGAGAAGCAUUCUGCCCAGAAAUCAGCAGCCCAGCCAUCUGCCCUUCCUGGCUGGCUCUCCCUGGCUGGCACCCUGGGGCCAUGCCCACAACUUCUCCCUACCCUGCCCUCUACCCCGUGGGCAGGUGUGGAGGUGAGUGUAAGGAACACAGACCAGCAUGCAGGCCCUUAGCAAGCGGAGGCCACCACCACCACUGUGACCUAUCGGGGACCACACUGGGGCUGACUGAGAGAGGCUGCAGGAAUGGGGAAAUGGAGAAUCAGAGAGGUGGGCCGAGUCACCCAAGUCACACAGCUGGUAAGAGGAAGAGCCAGGACUUGAACCUGCAUACUCAGGGCCAUGCUGCCAAGCCCUGGGGAAGUGGGCAUGAGGGGGCCCACAGGCAGAUGGUCAGCCUAUGCCUCGAGGUGUCCCCAGGCCUCAUGGCAAAGAGGGUGGUGGGGAGGUGUUUAACUGUGUCACCCCAAAAGAUAAGUUCAAACCCUAACUCCCGGUUCUGUGAAUAUGACCUUAUUUGGAAACAGGCUCUUUGAAGAUGGGACUAGUGAAAAUGAGGUCCAGUUGGAUUAGGGUGGGUCCUAGUCCUCUACAACUGGCGUCCUUAUAAGGGGGGAGGAGACAUGGGGACCCAGCCGGGAGGCUGCACGUGAAGAUGCAGAUAAGAGGCCAGGGGGAGGGGGAGGCAGAGCCUGCAGGGCGGUACCUACGAGCCUCGAGUUUUCCCUACGACAGGGGUGGCCGCUCUACAGGCACGUGUCGGCUCACGGUUUCAGAGGCUGGAAGGCUGCUUCCCUCCGGGCUGGGAUCUUCUGGCUGACUGGCGACCUUUGGGGUUUCUUGGUUUCCUGUCCACGGCAAGGCACGGGGCAGCAUCUUCUGCUUGCUCCUCGGGGUUCCCUUGACACCUGGCCCCUCCCCACGGCUUCUCUCUCCAGAUGCCUUUCCCUCUGCCUGUGAAGGACCCACUCCUGGGCAGCAGGUGUGGCUCAAGUGACUGGGCUCCCGCCUACCAUCCAGGAGGCCCCGGGUUUGAUUCCUGGGGCCUCCUGGUGAAGGCGAGCUGGUCCACGUGGAGAGCUGACACAAGAUGACGCAACAAC
RNAcentral lists this long non-coding RNA (1109 nucleotides) under Dasypus novemcinctus (nine-banded armadillo). RNAcentral's name for it is "lncRNA (ENSDNOG00000050365.1)". The record is from RNAcentral. Lineage: Eukaryota; Metazoa; Chordata; Mammalia; Cingulata; Dasypodidae.